This 2359-nucleotide long non-coding RNA is filed under the name Neodiprion lecontei (redheaded pine sawfly). RNAcentral's name for it is "uncharacterized LOC124293997, transcript variant X2". The record is from RNAcentral. Lineage: Eukaryota; Metazoa; Arthropoda; Insecta; Hymenoptera; Diprionidae.
GUUUUAUCCUGGCAUGUUCAUCGAGGCAACCCCGAACUUUGAAUGCGAGUACUUGAGUGACACGGGCAUCUUUGCGUUCUGUUACUCAGAACAGCUACCCGUUGCGCAUUGCGUUCGCUCCUUGUACCGUGCCUUGGAGUUCAAUUGCCCCUCAGGGAACUACCCCUGCCGUCUCGGGCGUACAUUCUUUUCAUGUUCCGAGUUGCCUGAAUCAGUAAUUGACUCGUAGAUAUAACAGUCCCACGUCCCACGACCCGCGUCGCGAUACAGUCGAUAACAAUGGUGAUUUUUUCGAGAAUAUCGUCACAUUUUUUUUUUCUUCUAUUAUUGAUUUUCCACCAGACCAUUAGUCGAAUUAAUUUUCUCGACGACAAAAUAUUGACUCCUUGAUCGAAGAAACCCUCCAUCCAUCAUGCAUGCAGAUCGAAUGAUUCUUUCAAAUCGACUGAAUUGUAAGAUCAUAUUCUCUGACCAACUUCCAUAAGACACGCCAAGUGAACGUGAAGCCGGAGUAUAGUUUUAAUUUCCCGGGAUCUACGGAGGCCGCGAAUUUAGUAAUAUUUCUCGGCACAUUUAUCGCGAAGCAUGCUUGGCUACCAACAACCUGAACAUAAACCGCCUCUCACCGGCCUUACACCGACACUUUGGCGAUCGUAAUACCUAUGGACGAAUGUGCAUACCUAUAAGUAUGUACUAUGGCGGUAUACGAAAUCUUUGGCAGCGACCGUGUAUCAAUUUGACCUAGACUUCCUUAUAAUUAUAACAGCUACCGUACACCAAUGACCAAACAGUUGGCUUCCACCUUGUGAGAUGUACAAAAAUGGACUUGGCAAACUGCGGCAAUCUCGAAAAAAAGGAAAACAGGGCCGUACCUUUUACUACGUUCGCAAAACGAAAGCAUGCUGUAGCCGCAAGAAGACGCGACUGGUAGAAUCAGCAUGAAAAUCAGAAUCGUUCACCUUUUAGGACAGCGUUAUAGGUUACUUUAGGGCGCGGUUCACAUUACUGUACGUCAGCGGGGAUUGGAAGGCUCAACAAGCCUUCAAAACGUUAUCAACUCGUGGAAUACGCUCCUCGGUGAGAUGAGGAUUUAUCAUCAGGCUUUCGAAAUGGUAAACGCACGAUUGGUGUACAAACGACAGAUACUGUUUUCCUCAAGUGACGUACAUUAUUUGGAAAUUCGUCCCGUCGCGUGUCUCCGAUGAAAUUUUCUCACAUCGAAAACUAUUAUUAUCCGAGAAUUAACGGACAAGGGGCGCUUCCUGUCUCAUCCUACUUAUUCAGUUAUUCGGACACGUAUGAAACGUUUGUUUCUCUACAUUCGGUAACUGCGGGACACAACGAUUCUUGGCCGCCGAUCGUCGGGAUCGUUUGUACGCACCAUUCAUCGAUACCGCACUGGUCCUGAUAUUACAAAAAAACGUAACGAACGAAAAACCGUUGCCGUUGCUAGUGGAAGAGCCAAUGGAAUGAAUUGUGAUUCAAUGCGAAAGAAAGGACGGCUAACGAUUGAAUUUGGAAUGUCGCGGGCGCGGCUCUGCCAUCCGGUUAAAUACGCCGUUGGGAGCUCGUACAACGUUGAAUAACGUAGGUGAAUACAUUAUACAUAUCGUUAUUAUACAUUCAGGGCAGGACGCUGUCUAUCUCUUUCCCAUGUACUCGGCCGACAUCAACCGUUUGUUCGAACACAACGUAGGACCAUCCCGCGCACGCAAUGAAAAGCAAAAUUGCCGGAGGCGACAAUCGGUUGAGACAAUUUGGCACCGGUGUCUAUGAAUUAUUCCAGCAUCUUUACCAUCAGGGGCGACCUUUCGGCACGCAACACACACGCGCACAAGCUGUGCCGUGUAAAAAAUGUGUAUACGCCUACGGUUGUGUAUACCAUCCUUGACCACUGAUCAAAACAACAUCGAGCUUUGUGCCGCUAUAGGCGUAUAAUCUCGACGUUCCAUCUGCGCACCGCUCUCACAUUUCUAUCGAAAAUAUCAUAUAGCUCACGGCGAUUGCUGUUCUAAUUCAUAUUGUACAGCUAUAUCGUAUCACUCUCCGUCGCGGCAACAUGCUGCGAGUGCCGAAUCUCGAUUCUCAUUUCACCUGUUCAACCGAACAACCGAUCUAAGUACGAUCCGAUCGAGAGGCCGACUGUUAGAUAGAUAUUGGAAAUUAUUUACGCAAAUUGCGUGUACCUAUAUAAAAACGCACAACGCUUUUUCAAAUACUCUUUUUAUCCCCUCCUAAUUGUCUUCCAAACCACGAUAUAAUAAUUAUGAUAAGUCAGCAGAAAGUGAAGGCGAGAGAGGGGGAAAGAAAGUCCAGAAUAAGAGCGGUCUCGAUUUCAGUUCGCGAACGUCCAGAAUGA